This 174-nucleotide ribosomal RNA is filed under the name uncultured bacterium. RNAcentral describes it as "partial 16S ribosomal RNA". It matches the Rfam family "Bacterial small subunit ribosomal RNA", at positions 1327 to 1500 of the family's 1533-position model. The record is from RNAcentral.
UGGAAUCGCUAGUAAUCGCGGAUCAGAAUGCCGCGGUGAAUACGUUCCCGGGUCUUGUACACACCGCCCGCCACACCAUGGGAGUCGGAAAUGCCCGAAGUCUGUGACCUAACCGAGAGGGAGGAGCAGCCGAAGGCAGGUCUGAUGACUGGGGUGAAGUCGUAACAAGGUACC